RNAcentral lists this ribosomal RNA (424 nucleotides) under uncultured prokaryote. Its description in RNAcentral is "bacterial SSU rRNA". It matches the Rfam family "Bacterial small subunit ribosomal RNA", at positions 355 to 796 of the family's 1533-position model. The record is from RNAcentral.
UGGGGAAUCUUGGACAAUGGGCGCAAGCCUGAUCCAGCCAUGCCGCGUGAGUGAAGAAGGCCUUAGGGUUGUAAAGCUCUUUCGGCGGGGAAGAUGAUGACGGUACCCGCAGAAGAAGCCCCGGCUAACUCCGUGCCAGCAGCCGCGGUAAUACGGAGGGGGCUUGCGUUGUUCGGAAUUACUGGGCGUAAAGGGCGCGUAGGCGGACGAUCAAGUCAGGGGUGAAAGGCCUGGGCUCAACCUGGGAACGGCCUUUGAAACUGAUUGUCUAGAGUCCGGGAGAGGAUGGCGGAAUACCCAGUGUAGAGGUGAAAUUCGUAGAUAUUGGGUGGAACACCGGUGGCGAAGGCGGCCAUCUGGACCGGCACUGACGCUGAGGCGCGAAAGCGUGGGGAGCAAACAGGAUUAGAUACCCCGGUAGUCC